UUCUAUAAGUCUUCUCUCUCUUUCUCCCUCACUCCCCUCACUCGGCUGAACCUUCUCCCCCUCUACUCUCUCUCUAAUUUUCUCUUCCUUUUCCUCCUCUUGGCUUGCCCGUCGCCAUCCUGAUCACCCGCUGCCAUCCACCCGUCCACCGCUGCAUGCUUGCCAUCUGUCCGCCUGCUGUUGCACUGCCACCUGCUUGCCAUCCUCAUGCCGUUCGCCAUUGCUGCCAUGUCGUGAACCGACUGCCCCUUAUCUUGUCUCGGUUGUUCAUAAGUAGAUUUCCUAAAUGUCGGCUAAGCUGUUGCAUUACAUAACUCGAAUUUAGGUUCAUUUCUAGUGUUGUAGAACUAUCCUAAGUAGAGAAGCUCAUGUGACUAAUUUUGUAUGGUUUGCUCAUGAUGUACUUAGACUAUAAAGCUUGGGAAUGAGUGAGGAGUAAGUAUGUGAUCGUUGAGAUUGUUCGGGUUGGCGUGAUUUGUGGAAAUAGUUCGUUUAGGCUUAGUUAUUGCUUGGGUUAGAAAAAUUGCUGUGGUUGUUGCUUGUGGACCGUUUGUUAUUGUUAAAUAAACUUAACCUUCAUGUUUGAUUGCUGUGGUUGGUUGUAUAAGGUGAUGUGGUUUAUUGUAUGUUAUGACUAUUAUGGUUGAAUCAUCCAUCUAUGUUGUUAUUAGAUUUGAUAUUCAAGGAUUAUGAUUGCAAUAUGGAUGUGGUCUUCGCAUAUAGAAGUCCAUAGGUCAUGGUUGAUGCUUGAGUUCACAUUGAGCCUCCGAAGCUAGAAUAACAUCAGUUCUUGGACGUGCAUGGAAGUAUGCCGGGCCGGGUCACUCUUUUAGUUUGGCGAUUUUGAGGUGUAACGUCCAACUUGGGUUUAACUUAGGUUGAUGCUUGAAUGUAACGGGUCAAGCCACGAUUCUAUUUUUGUGCUUUGUAUGGAGUCCUACUUUAGAUGAUAGGCCUCACUAAGCUCUCUCCUGGGUUGUGAAAGCGGUGCGAAAGAAGUUGGUUGGGCUACCUUGCCUUGAGAGCUUCCCCGAUGAUUGAGUCUGUGAUUUUAUUGGUUGUAUUUGCUUCCAUCUCGAAAUGUUCUUUCAUGAUUGUAUGUAAAAAAUCUCUCAGGCAUAAGCAUAGGCAUAUGAUGAGUUGAAAACUUCAGAGGUGG
This 1159-nucleotide long non-coding RNA is filed under the name Eucalyptus grandis. RNAcentral's name for it is "long non-coding RNA (EGRA_LNC002676)". Lineage: Eukaryota; Viridiplantae; Streptophyta; Magnoliopsida; Myrtales; Myrtaceae. The record is from RNAcentral.